Molecule: ribosomal RNA, 447 nt
Filed under: uncultured bacterium
Lineage: Bacteria
Description: partial 16S ribosomal RNA
Rfam family: Bacterial small subunit ribosomal RNA
Source: RNAcentral
AACGAACGCUGGCGGCAGGCUUAACACAUGCAAGUCGAACGCCCCGCAAGGGGAGUGGCAGACGGGUGAGUAACGCGUGGGAAUCUACCCAGAACUUCGGAACAACUGAGGGAAACUUCAGCUAAUACCGGAUACGCCCUACGGGGGAAAGAUUUAUCGGUUUUGGAUGAGCCCGCGUUGGAUUAGCUAGUUGGUGAGGUAAUGGCUCACCAAGGCGACGAUCCAUAGCUGGUCUGAGAGGAUGAUCAGCCACACUGGGACUGAGACACGGCCCAGACUCCUACGGGAGGCAGCAGUGGGGAAUAUUGGACAAUGGGCGAAAGCCUGAUCCAGCCAUGCCGCGUGAGUGAUGAAGGCCUUAGGGUUGUAAAGCUCUUUCAGUGGGGAAGAUAAUGACGGUACCCACAGAAGAAGCCCCGGCUAACUUCGUGCCAGCCGCCGCCGUAA